This 884-nucleotide unclassified non-coding RNA is filed under the name Pomacea canaliculata. Its description in RNAcentral is "uncharacterized protein YwbO-like, transcript variant X3". Lineage: Eukaryota; Metazoa; Mollusca; Gastropoda; Architaenioglossa; Ampullariidae. The record is from RNAcentral.
UCGUCAAUGGAGUAGUGUCCCUUGUUUUGUCUAAAGUUCACGUCUGCGGUUACAUCGUUAAACUAUUUUCGUUUCAUUUUCAUUCUUUUAAAUCAAAGAUGGCUGCAAAACCUUUAGUGAACAUAGACAUCAUCAGCGAUGUAAUGUGUCCUUGGUGCUGGGUUGGCAAGCGAAAGUUGGAAUCCAGCAUGAAAGCUCUUGAAGAUAAAAUUCAAUUCAGGGUACGAUGGCAUCCUUACCUACUGCGUCCUGCCGCUCCGCCAGAAGGCAUACCCAUUCCGUCUGCUUUUAGAAGUGGACCAAGGGUGACCCAGCUGCAACAAGCUGGAGCUGCAGUUGGAAUCAAUUUUACUUUCAAAAACACCUCUUUCCCAAGCACCAUUAGAAGUCAUGCUCUUCUGGAACUGGCGGCAGCUAAAGAUGAUGGAGUAAAACAGAACGAUGUUGCAGAGCUACUGUUUAAGGCAUAUUUUGUAGAUGGCAAGAUGCUUACUGAUGAUGAUGUAGUGGACGUUGGCAAGCAGGCAGGGUUUGAGGCAAAUGAGAUUCGAGCUUACAUCAGCAAGCAGGAAAAUCUUGAUCAUGUUGUUAGAACAGCCAAAAGUUGGGCUGACAAGGGAGUGGAAGCGCAUGUUUUCUGGUGCUCAGGAUGAGGAUGUUUUCAAAAGAAUGCUUACUAUGGCAGCAGAAAAGUUCCAAGCGUCUACCAUUAACAGAGCUUAAAUUUUACUUCCUGUAAAUAAAAUUAUCCAUAAGUACCUUCAGUAUACAUCCAUUCUGCCCAUUAUUUCCUGUGGGUCAUCAUAAACAUUUCUAUCAGAUCCAGGGAGUGGGCUCUGUCACACUGUGAGUGCAAGAAAUGAAAUUCCACCGUUAUAGCCUGC